UCAAACUACGUCUUUUCAAUCGUGGAUUGUAAAUUUAACCCCAUGGGCCUAGGGAAGGCCCUAUAACAAUACUUUCGACACAGUUAUUAUCUCCGGUGCCUCCACCAUGUUACACACAGUGCUCACUGCUGAUUCUAAAAUGCGCCACCUAGUCAAAACAGGACAUAUGUUCUUCUAGGAAUAGAUCUCUUUCCAAUAUUUCGUCAUUCCACUAUCGUCAUCACCUCAUCAUACUUUCAUUGACAUUACAGGCACACAUCCACAGAGCACUCUUCAAAUCAUCUACACAGUGGUUAUCCAACUAGGAUUAUAAAGGCACACAUGGACAUUGACCACUGUUGCAGUCAACGACACAGUCGCUAUCCAAGUAGCAUUAUAGAGCUGUCAUGCAACGCAACAACUGUGCUAUCUGCCAUCGCACAUCAACGAAGAAGUGCAGCCGCUCACAUUCCACCUCACGUCUGUCCGACCAGCUGCAAUCCUCGAGGACGCCCCACUGUACCACGAUUUCACUACGAUGUUUGACAAGAAGGAGCAGUGCGCGAGAUAGGCUAAUGAGCAGACUUCCCUCGCUUGAGUUUCAGAAGAAUGUUCCAUAUCGCGCUAAGCUGACCACUGCUGACCAUGACAGGCGUGCAUUGGACUGGUACAGGUUGGAACUAAACAUUGAAUAUGCUGGUGGUGACGCUUUCUGAUGAGAAGUUGGUCGUGACUGAUGCAGUAUCCUUGGACUUGUCCACAGCAUCGUUCAAUCAUUGCUCUCUGAGCUGCCUUGA
Molecule: long non-coding RNA, 776 nt
Organism: Lineus longissimus
Lineage: Eukaryota; Metazoa; Nemertea; Pilidiophora; Heteronemertea; Lineidae
Exons: 3
Source: RefSeq, a predicted model, not a curated record